RNAcentral lists this ribosomal RNA (430 nucleotides) under Pseudomonadota bacterium. Its description in RNAcentral is "Proteobacteria bacterium partial 16S ribosomal RNA". It matches the Rfam family "Bacterial small subunit ribosomal RNA", at positions 355 to 776 of the family's 1533-position model. The record is from RNAcentral. Lineage: Bacteria; Pseudomonadati; Pseudomonadota.
UGGGGAAUAUUGGACAAUGGGGGGAACCCUGAUCCAGCCAUGCCGCGUGUGUGAAGAAGGCCUUAUGGUUGUAAAGCACUUUAAGCGAGGAGGAGGGUACUGGUAUUAAUACUACCAGGUACUGGACGUUACUCGCAGAAUAAGCACCGGCUAACUCUGUGCCAGCAGCCGCGGUAAUACAGAGGGUGCGAGCGUUAAUCGGAUUUACUGGGCGUAAAGCGUGCGUAGGCGGCUGAUUAAGUCGGAUGUGAAAUCCCUGAGCUUAACUUAGGAAUUGCAUUCGAUACUGGUCAGCUAGAGUAUGGGAGAGGAUGGUAGAAUUCCAGGUGUAGCGGUGAAAUGCGUAGAUAUAGGAAGGAACACCAGUGGCGAAGGCGACCACCUGGGCUCAUACUGACACUGAGGUGCGAAAGCGUGGGGAGCAAACAGG